This 1709-nucleotide ribosomal RNA is filed under the name Capsicum annuum. Its description in RNAcentral is "SSU rRNA". It matches the Rfam family "Eukaryotic small subunit ribosomal RNA", at positions 3 to 1402 of the family's 1831-position model. The record is from RNAcentral. Lineage: Eukaryota; Viridiplantae; Streptophyta; Magnoliopsida; Solanales; Solanaceae.
CCUGAUUGAUCCUUCCAGUACUCAUGUGCUUGUCUCAAAGAUUAAGCCAUGCUUGGGUAAGUAUGAACAAAUUCAGACUGUGAAACUGCGAAUGGCUCAUUAAAUCAAUUAUAGUUUAUUUGAUGGUAUCUACUACUCGGAUAUCCGUAGUAAUUUUAGAGCUAAUACGUACAACAAACCCUGAAUUCUGGAUGGGAUGCAUUUAUUAGAUAAAAGGUCGAUGCGGGCUCUGCCCAUUGCUGUUAUGAUUUAUGAUAACUCAAUGGAUCGCACGGCCAUCGUGCCAGCAAUGCAUCAUUUAAAUUUCUGUCCAGUCAAGUUUCGAUGGUAGGAUAGUAGCCUACCAUGGUGGUGAUGGGUGAUGGAGAAUUAGGGUUUGAUUUUGGAGAGGGAGACUAAGAAAUGGCUGCCAUAUCCAAAGAAGGCAGCAGGCGUGCAAAUUACCCAAUCGUGACACGGGGAGGUAGUGACAAUAAAUAACAAUACUGGGCUCAAUUAGUCUGGUAAUUGGAAGGAGUACAAUCUAAAUCCCUUAACGAGAAUCUAUUAGAGGGAGAGUUUGGUGCCAGCAUCCACGGUAUUUCCCGCACCAAUAGCAUAUAUUUAAGUUGUUGCAGUUACAAAUCUCGAAGUUGGACUUUGGGAUUGGCUGUUCGGUCCACCUAUGGUGUGCAUUGGUCAUUUCGUUCCUUCUGUCGGCGAUGCACUCCUGCCCUGAACUAGUUGAGUUAUGCCUCCGGCGCUGUUACUUUGAAGAAAUUAGAGUUCUUAAUGCAAGCUUAUGCUCUGUAUACAUUAGCAUGGGAUAAUGUUACAGGAUUUCGGUCCUAUUACGUUAGCCUUUGGGAUCAGAGUAGUGAUUAACAGGGACAAUCGGGGGCAUUCAUAUUUCAUAGUCAGAGGUGAAAUUAUUGGAUAUAUGAAAUACGAACAACUACGAAAGAAUUUUCCAAGGAUGUUUUCAUUAAUCAAGAAUAAAAUUUGGGGGCUCGAAGGAGGUCAGAUACCGUCCUCAUCUCAAUCAUAAACGAUGCCAACCAGGGAUCGGCGGAUGUUGCCUUUUGGACUCCACUGGCACUUGAUGAAAAUUCAAACUUUUUGGGUUCCGGGAGGAGUAUGGUCGUAAUGCUAAAACUUAAAGGAAUUAACGGAAGGGCACCACCAGGAGUGGAGUCUGCGGCUUAAUUUGACUCAACACGGGGAAACUUACUAGGUCCAGACAUAGUAAGGAUUGACAGACUGAGAGCUCUUUCUUGAUUCUAUGGGUGGUGGUGCAUGGCCGUUCUUAGUUGGUAGAGCAAUUGGUCUUGUUAAUUCCGUUAACAAACGAGACCUCAGCCUGCUAAGUUGCUAUGCGGAGGUAUCCACUCGCGGUCCGCUUCAAACUCACCAAGGCACCAUGGCACAAAGGCACCAUGGCACCAAGGCACCGUGGCACCGUGGCGCCGUGGCACCGUGGCACCGACGCACCAAGGCACCAUGGCACCGUGGCACGUGGCAGCAUGGCACCGUGGCACCAUGGCACCAAGGCACCAUGGCACCAUGGCACCAUGGCACCAAGGCGUCGCGGCACCAAGGCACUAACGCACCGUGGCAAAAUCAAAAGAGCGUAAACCUACGUUCAAUCAUCCCAGUAUUUUUUCGACGUUCAUCCAUCUUCCCCACCGCUGCAUACUCAUUUUUCUACAUAUCCGCUCUAAUUUUUUAUU